Molecule: long non-coding RNA, 761 nt
Organism: Misgurnus anguillicaudatus (oriental weatherfish)
Lineage: Eukaryota; Metazoa; Chordata; Actinopteri; Cypriniformes; Cobitidae
Source: RefSeq, a predicted model, not a curated record
GCGCACCACGCCAGUUCAUCAAGGUGCUCUCUUGAGAUAAUUCCUGAUCUUGUCAUGGAGUUCUUCUGUAUCCUUCAACGCUUUUUCAAUCUCGCUCACAUCAAUGGCCUCUGUUCUCUUCCUGGUUAUACAUUAACGAACAGCUAUUUCGGCUUCUUUUUCCAAGCGCUCGAGAUCUUCACUGAAGCCUGUGACGUUUGACAGGAUCUUUUUGAUGUCCUCAAUCAUCUUCUUGACGUCAUCGGGAGAUUUGGGCAGCUGAAUUGACAACACGGCAUUGGCCAGUUUCUCAAUGUCCUCCGGCUUCACCAGCUCAUCUGUUAAGGAUGGCUUUGUGACUUCGCUUACCUCCCCGUCGGUGGAAGGUUCUGGCCCAGAAUAGCGGCUAUCACAGACGACAUCAUCAAUGCUAUCUGCUGGCCAUUCGGGGAUGCCCGGAAACGAGUUGGCACAGUCCUCCGCAAAGUACCGGAAAACCUUCCAGCAACUUGAAGUGGCUGAAACGGACGUGAGGACUGUAGGGCGGCUCGAUCAGGUGACCCGCGCCAGGAUACGAGAGAAGAGUCAGCAGAUGACUGUUUCCAGCUUUCUCCAUCAUCUUUCUUAUCUGAAGAAACAUUAUGGAAAGUUCCUGAAGAAUCACUGACGUAAUGGCCAAACGCUUCCCAUUCAACCCCAUCAUCGGAGUUGAGACGUCCAUGAAGAGUAACCUUAGAGUUAGCAGGCAAGUUUUUAACAUCUAUUUCGAUUUUUGAAUCAAC